UGAGGAAUAUUGGUCAAUGGGCGAGAGCCUGAACCAGCCAUCCCGCGUGAAGGAAGAAGGCGCUAUGCGUUGUAAACUUCUUUUUCAGGGGGAUAAAAUAUUGUAUGAAUACGAUACUGAAGGUACCCUGAGAAUAAGCAUCGGCUAACUCCGUGCCAGCAGCCGCGGUAAUACGGAGGAUGCGAGCGUUAUCCGGAUUUAUUGGGUUUAAAGGGUGCGUAGGCGGAAUAAUAAGUCAGUGGUGAAACCCUGCAGCUUAACUGUAGACUUGCCAUUGAUACUGUUUUUCUUGAGUAUGGUCAAGGCAGGCGGAAUGUGUAAUGUAGCGGUGAAAUGCUUAGAUAUUACACAGAACACCGAUAGCGAAGGCAGCUUGCUGGGCCGUUACUGACGCUGAUGCACGAAAGCGUGGGGAUCGAACAG
Molecule: ribosomal RNA, 423 nt
Filed under: uncultured bacterium
Lineage: Bacteria
Description: bacterial SSU rRNA
Rfam family: Bacterial small subunit ribosomal RNA
Source: RNAcentral